GUGAGGAAUUUUCCGCAAUGGGCGAAAGCCUGACGGAGCAAUGCCGCGUGAAGGAUGAAGGCCUAUGGGUUGUAAACUUCUUUUCUCAGAAAAGAAUUAUGACGGUAUCUGAGGAAUAAGCAUCGGCUAACUCUGUUCCAGCAGCCGCGGUAAGACAGAGGAUGCAAGCGUUAUCCGGAAUGAUUGGGCGUAAAGCGUCUGUAGGUUGUUUAAAAAGUAUUCUGUCAAAGAUUAGGGCUUAACCCUAGAUAGGCAGAAUAAACUUUUAAGCUAGAGUUUGGUAGAGGCAGAGGGAAUUCCCGGUGGAGCGGUGAAAUGCGUAGAUAUCGGGAGGAACACCAAAGGCGAAGGCACUCUGCUGGGCCAAUACUAACACUGAGAGACGAAAGCGAGGGGAGCAAAUGGGAUUAGAUACCCCGGUAGUCC
Molecule: ribosomal RNA, 426 nt
Filed under: uncultured bacterium
Lineage: Bacteria
Description: bacterial SSU rRNA
Rfam family: Bacterial small subunit ribosomal RNA
Source: RNAcentral